CACAAAUGUAAGCCUCCUGAAACAUAAGGAGCCAGAUAUGCUGGUUGUAUGAGAUUGAAUGAAACUCUUUCAUAGGAGAUGCUCCUUUUUGAAAAUAUUUACUGCAUGCUGAGAUGUAAAGCUGGGAGAAGAGAAAUGUACCUGUGCAAUGCAACCUGCAUGGGAAAUAGAGAAGUCCUCUCUUUACAGUUCCACAUAGCUUUAAGAAUGAGUGGGAUCUCUAAGGUCUGAUAAAAGUCUUGUGAAAUACAGAAUAAGAGCAUACAGUAUUUCAGCCACUGGUGGUCUGAAGCUCAUCCAGUAAAACACAAACAAAAACAAUAACAACAAAAAUGAUAAUAAUAAUAAUAAUAAUAAUAAUAAUAAAAAAAACCACCUCCAUUGAUCCACUUUGACUAGGUCUGUAACAGAGUGCAAGUUUGCCUGUGGAAGAACAUGGCUUGCUUCUUACAGCACGUACUUGAGAAUAAAUAAAUCCAAAAUGCCGUUGCAGAAUUAGCAGAAAUUUAUCUAUUCUGUGAGAUAAGAUGGAAUCACGCAGAAUACAAGAAAACUUGAACAUGGACAGAGGAGGAUGGUGACUGGUUAUCUUCUAUGUUGAGUGCAGGUCAUUCAGGAAUGGAGUCAUACCAAGAAAAUGCUGCCUUGUGGGGAUUCUUUAACCAAUUUCAGGCUCUGUGUAGUGGAAAACCUCAGGAGGGGAACCCAAGACUGCACUGUCAGUCCAAUCAUCAGAUAACAUUUGUUUUACUGCCUGAUUUGAAAACAUUCUCAUUUUGGAUGUCUCGAUUCAAUUGCAUUCAUAGGAAAAACUUCCCUUGCUCACCGUGUGGAUCCUCGGACUCUGUGUCUCUGUGGGCAUAAAAAGUCCAGGAUUUCUAGUCCUUUGGGGAAGUGGAAGCCUCAAUGCCUUCAGAAAGGUGACCUCACAUGGCAUUUCUCCACUGUCAGUCUUGAGCAUCUGUGGCAGAAUCACCAAGUGAAUCCAAAUCAUCAAACUUCCUCACAAUUAAAAGGUAAUUGGUGGCAUCCCGGCCUUUCAGGCACCAGACUGUUAAACACCUCAUAAAACAUUCAGAAGACUUGCAGAACCCAAAGAGGAAAAUGAGGAGGGAGGUAUUUUUUCCACCUGAUGGACAUGGUAUGUAAUUACCUUAGGCAUAUCCUGAUUCUCUCUCUCUCUCUAUUGCUCAUCGCUGCUAUGUCUAAGAAUUACUUGAUAUUCAAAGAGUGCCCUAACCAAGUCAGGUUUUCAUAACAUGAUUACAUUAUGAAACAUUUUGCUCCUGUAUAUUACAGUGUGCACACAUACACUUUCAUCAUGUAUUGGACUGCAGUUUGUGCUCUGAUACCAUGCACCACAGGAUGUCUACAAAUUGAAUUAUUUCAGGAUAGUUAUGCUAAGUAGCUCCAUGCAGGGAAACCUGUAUUCUAGCACAAAAGCACCUUGUUCUCCUUUAUCGUAAUCCACGUUUAAAAUGGGUUAUGAUGCAGAACAGGCCACUCCUAUUUUGGAAUAAUUUUAUAUAGGAAGAGCUUUUGUGCUUUUGGCUCACACCCUGCAUUAGCCAAAAGAGCUUUGAAGUGUAGACAAGCCUCUAAUGUGUCUCUAGUAUUUCCAUCCUGCUCCCUGGCUCCUGCCUGUUCUUUGGCUCUUCCUUUGGGAAGGUCCAGAGCAAAACCAAACCUGCAGAGCCUGUCAUUUAGGUCUUUGUUUUUAUAAGCUUCAUACCAAGGGACAUUUCCAAUUUGAUUCCCAAUCUACGUGCAUCCUUAAGUAUUUGAAAGGAGUAUUUAGAUGCAAGCUUCUGACUCUGAGCCAUCCCCACAAAUUAUAUUAGUACAUAAAAUGUUUCCUUUCACACUUUGCUGAAAGAGAAGUCCCUCUGGAAGCCUGCAGUUCCUUUUGGGACCAUUUGGUUAUUUCUCUAUUACGAUUUCUUCUAAAACCA
Long non-coding RNA from Cairina moschata (Muscovy duck), 1952 nucleotides. The record is from Ensembl. NCBI's taxonomy places the organism in Eukaryota, Metazoa, Chordata, Aves, Anseriformes, Anatidae.